AGGAGCAUGUGGUUAAUUCGAUGAUACGCGAGGAACCUUACCUGGGCUCGAACGUAAGAUGACUGUAGGUGAAAGCUUACAUCUCUUCGGAGCAUUUUACGAGGUGCUGCAUGGUUGUCGUCAGCUCGUGCCGUGAGGUGUCGGGUUAAGUCCCAUAACGAGCGCAACCCCUACCUUUAGUUGCCAUCAGGUUAAGCUGGGGACUCUAAAGGAAUUGCCUACGCAAGUAGUGAGGAAGCGGGGAUGACGUCAAAUCAGCACGGCCCUUACGUCCAGGGCUACACACGUGCUACAAUGGCCGAUACAGAGGGCAGCUACCUGGUGACAGGAUGCAAAUCUCCAAAGUCGGUCUCAGUUCGGAUCGGAGUCUGCAACCCGACUCCGUGAAGUUGGAUUCGCUAGUAAUCGCGCAUCAGCCAUGGCGCGGUGAAUACGUUCCCGGGCCUU
This 447-nucleotide ribosomal RNA is filed under the name uncultured Sphingobacteriales bacterium. Its description in RNAcentral is "bacterial SSU rRNA". It matches the Rfam family "Bacterial small subunit ribosomal RNA", at positions 933 to 1382 of the family's 1533-position model. The record is from RNAcentral. Lineage: Bacteria; Pseudomonadati; Bacteroidota; Sphingobacteriia; Sphingobacteriales.